Molecule: ribosomal RNA, 114 nt
Filed under: Dehalococcoidia bacterium
Lineage: Bacteria; Bacillati; Chloroflexota; Dehalococcoidia
Description: partial 16S ribosomal RNA
Rfam family: Bacterial small subunit ribosomal RNA
Source: RNAcentral
CUAACCCGGGUUUCCGGGAGGCAGUCGCCUAAGGUGGGGCUGGUGAUUGGGACGAAGUCGUAACAAGGUAGCCGUAGCGGAAGCUGUGGCUGGAUCACCUCCUUUCUAGGGAGA